AGCUUUGCACAGUGGUAGUAUCAUAGCCAAUGAGUUUUAUCCAAGGUGCGAUUAUUGCUAAUUGAAAACUUCUCCCAAUACCCUGCCAUGACGACUUGAGAUAUAGUCAGCAUUGGCAAUUUUUUACAGUCUCUAUGGAGA
This is a small nuclear RNA of Aotus nancymaae (Ma's night monkey), 141 nucleotides long. Its record names the gene U4. It matches the Rfam family "U4 spliceosomal RNA". From Rfam's summary of the family: U4 small nuclear RNA (U4 snRNA) is a component of the major U2-dependent spliceosome. Lineage: Eukaryota; Metazoa; Chordata; Mammalia; Primates; Aotidae. The record is from Ensembl.